UAAGUGAUCGCUUGUAGGAAUUAA
RNAcentral lists this unclassified non-coding RNA (24 nucleotides) under Mus musculus (house mouse). RNAcentral's name for it is "oocyte_clustered_small_RNA8867". The record is from RNAcentral. Lineage: Eukaryota; Metazoa; Chordata; Mammalia; Rodentia; Muridae.